GCCAGCGGGCGCGGCCGCCUCGCCCUGCGGAUGGUGGCGCGCAGCCCCGGGCGGAGGGAGGCGCCUCUCUUCUCCUUCUCCCGAGCUUGCCGUCCUGUGUCCCCGCCGCACGAAACGACCGCCACCCGUGUCACCCAGGCGGGCGCUUUUCACUAAAGAGCACCCCGCCCCACCCUGUUUUGGUUCCCCGCAAUCGCGGCACCCCCCUCCCUGUCCCCGUGCUGGCUAAAAUUUCCUGCGCUUUCCUUUCACGCUUUUUCCUUCGGAGUCCUUGCCGCAAAGGGUUAAUCUACCAGCCGCUGGAAGCCCGAGGAGCCCCCGGUGCUGCUAGCCAGCGCCCCAGACUCCCUCUCUCUCUUUACGUUCCUCUAGGCAAGACACGGUUUCCUACACCCUGAUCUGACACGCUCUGUGUCAUACAAGCAGAUACGGAGGACUUCUAGCUUCGAUCAUUUCCUUCCGUCCCUUUGGAUCGAGAAUUAUUUUACCCCGCUCCCCCCCCAGAACGGGUGUUACUGUUACAUUAUGUGCUUUCGGGGCGUGUCAUUUGCUGGAAAUAAAAACAUCUUGAUCAGCUGAAGAAGCAGAAUAAUUCUGACUCUUUUCAAUGUGACUGGAAUGUUUUCUGGGACUGCCAAAAUUUUCAGGAUGACUUUGAGUAAAACCCAAAAAUAAAUCUUUUGUGUAACUUC
Molecule: non-coding RNA, 692 nt
Organism: Equus caballus (horse)
Lineage: Eukaryota; Metazoa; Chordata; Mammalia; Perissodactyla; Equidae
Source: RefSeq, a predicted model, not a curated record